RNAcentral lists this small RNA (28 nucleotides) under Bombyx mori (domestic silkworm). RNAcentral describes it as "ovarian small RNA-23370". The record is from RNAcentral. Lineage: Eukaryota; Metazoa; Arthropoda; Insecta; Lepidoptera; Bombycidae.
UAUAGAAAGUACAAAGGUUUUUACAGGC